GCCUGCUUCUGCAGCGCUAAUAGUAAAACUGGAACAAAUCAAAGAAGAUCGCGUGGCUCCUGCACAAGAAUGGCGUUUGUGGAGUGUUCCAUGUUUUU
Molecule: small nuclear RNA, 98 nt
Filed under: Peromyscus maniculatus bairdii (prairie deer mouse)
Lineage: Eukaryota; Metazoa; Chordata; Mammalia; Rodentia; Cricetidae
Source: RNAcentral